AGAGUUUGAUCCUGGCUCAGGACGAACGCUGGCGGCGUGCCUAAUACAUGCAAGUAGAACGCUGAAGAGAGGAGCUUGCUCUUCUUGGAUGAGUUGCGAACGGGUGAGUAACGCGUAGGUAACCUGCCUUGUAGCGGGGGAUAACUAUUGGAAACGAUAGCUAAUACCGCAUAACAAUAGAUGACUCAUGUCAUUUAUUUGAAAGGGGCAAUUGCUCCACUACAAGAUGGACCUGCGUUGUAUUAGCUAGUAGGUGAGGUAACGGCUCACCUAGGCGACGAUACAUAGCCGACCUGAGAGGGUGAUCGGCCACACUGGGACUGAGACACGGCCCAGACUCCUACGGGAGGCAGCAGUAGGGAAUCUUCGGCAAUGGGGGCAACCCUGACCGAGCAACGCCGCGUGAGUGAAGAAGGUUUUCGGAUCGUAAAGCUCUGUUGUAAGUCAAGAACGAGUGUGAGAGUGGAAAGUUCACACUGUGACGGUAGCUUACCAGAAAGGGACGGCUAACUACGUGCCAGCAGCCGCGGUAAUACGUAGGUCCCGAGCGUUGUCCGGAUUUAUUGGGCGUAAAGCGAGCGCAGGCGGUUUGAUAACUCUGAAGUUAAAGGCUGUGGCUCAACCAUAUUUCGCUUUUGGACACUGUCAAACUUUGAGUGCAGAAGGGGAGAGUGGAAUUCCAUGUGUAGCGGUGAAUGCGUAGAUAUACGGAGGACCUCGGUGGCGAAAGCGGCUCUCUGGUCUGUAACUGACGCUGAGGCUCGAACGCGUUGGGAGCGAACAGGAUAUAUACCCAGGUUGUCCACCGCCGUAAACGUGAGCGCCAAGGUG
RNAcentral lists this ribosomal RNA (831 nucleotides) under uncultured bacterium. Its description in RNAcentral is "bacterial SSU rRNA". It matches the Rfam family "Bacterial small subunit ribosomal RNA", at positions 8 to 822 of the family's 1533-position model. The record is from RNAcentral.